AGGGUUAUCGCCAAGUGGUAAGGCACAGGACUUUGACUCCUGUAUUCGAGGGUUCAAAUCCCUCUAGCCCCGCUA
RNAcentral lists this transfer RNA (75 nucleotides) under Bacteriophage sp. RNAcentral describes it as "tRNA-Gln". It matches the Rfam family "tRNA". From Rfam's summary of the family: Transfer RNA (tRNA) molecules are approximately 80 nucleotides in length. Their secondary structure includes four short double-helical elements and three loops (D, anti-codon, and T loops). Further hydrogen bonds mediate the characteristic L-shaped molecular structure. tRNAs have two regions of fundamental functional importance: the anti-codon, which is responsible for specific mRNA codon recognition, and the 3' end, to which the tRNAs corresponding amino acid is attached (by aminoacyl-tRNA synthetases). tRNAs cope with the degeneracy of the genetic code in two manners: having more than one tRNA (with a specific anti-codon) for a particular amino acid; and 'wobble' base-pairing, i.e. permitting non-standard base-pairing at the 3rd anti-codon position. The record is from RNAcentral. RNAcentral also lists the same sequence under 1 other name.